This 413-nucleotide RNase P RNA is filed under the name Aliifodinibius sp. S!AR15-10. RNAcentral describes it as "RNase P RNA component class A". It matches the Rfam family "Bacterial RNase P class A". Rfam says of the family: Ribonuclease P (RNase P) is a ubiquitous endoribonuclease, found in archaea, bacteria and eukarya as well as chloroplasts and mitochondria. The record is from RNAcentral. Lineage: Bacteria; Pseudomonadati; Balneolota; Balneolia; Balneolales; Balneolaceae.
CAGGAUGAUCGGGUAAUCGCUCACCUUCGCCAAGGCUUCGGUGAGCAGGCCCCUAUCCAAAGUAAUUCUUGGGCGGGGCUUGCCCUCCGAAGCUUUACGCGAAGGAGAGAGGAAAGUCCGAACACCAACGAGCACCGUGCUUCCUAACAGGAAGAUCCGGGAAACCGGUUAGCCAGUGCCACAGAAAACAAACCGUCCGCCAGCUGGGGGAUAAGGGUGAAAAGGUGGGGUAAGAGCCCACCGCUUUGGUGGCGACAUCAAAGGCAGGGCAAACCUCACGGGGUGAAAGCUCAUGCAGGUCGUGCGCUGCUCGUCGCUAUACGACCGGGUGGAGUGCUUGAGCCCUGAAGCAAUUCAGGGACCAGAUAAAUGAUUACCCUCGACAAGAUUCGGCUUACAGAUCAUCCGCUUGA